UACGUAGGGUGCAAGCGUUAAUCGGAAUUACUGGGCGUAAAGCGUGCGCAGGCGGCUUGCAAGACAGGUGUGAAAUCCCGGCUUACCUGGAACUGCAUUGUGACUGCAUGGCUGGAGUGCGGCAGAGGGGGAUGGAAUUCCGCGUGUAGCAGUGAAAUGCGUAGAUAUGCGGAGGAACACCGAUGGCGAAGGCAGCCCCUGGUCAAGAUGACGCUCGAUGCACGAAGCGUGGGAGCAAACAGG
Molecule: ribosomal RNA, 243 nt
Filed under: uncultured bacterium
Lineage: Bacteria
Description: partial 16S ribosomal RNA
Rfam family: Bacterial small subunit ribosomal RNA
Source: RNAcentral